GACAGAGGUGCCGAGCGUUAGGCGGAAUCACUGGGCUUAAAGCGUGUGUAGGCGGAUCGUUAAGUGUCUUGUGAAAUCCCACGGCUCACCCGUGGAACUGCUGGGCAUACUGGCGAUCUUGGGCCAACUAGGGGCAACUGGAACAAGCGGUGGAGCGGUGAAAUGCGUAGAUAUCGCUUGGAACGCCAAAGGUGAAAACAGGUUGCUGGGGUUGUGCCGACGCUGAGACACGAAAGCCAGGGGAGCAAACGGG
Molecule: ribosomal RNA, 253 nt
Filed under: uncultured bacterium
Lineage: Bacteria
Description: partial 16S ribosomal RNA
Rfam family: Bacterial small subunit ribosomal RNA
Source: RNAcentral